Molecule: long non-coding RNA, 2512 nt
Filed under: Gallus gallus (chicken)
Lineage: Eukaryota; Metazoa; Chordata; Aves; Galliformes; Phasianidae
Source: RNAcentral
CGCAGCAGCUGGGGACACUGCUGCUGUUGGCUCGCUUCUCCUGCUAGUGGCUGUGGUGUCUUCAGAGCUGGGAUUUUAGUGUUUACUUCCGUGCGCUGACUCCUGCUCUGCCUUUUGUCUGCUGGAACUAAAGGGCCUGGAAGAUGAGAGGCUGCUGCCUGUGGGAGUGUUUGCAGGUUGCAGCCGGAGUCAUCUUCUAACCUGUUUGUGGAGAAGCGCAGCUACAGAUCCAGCAGGCACUAGCAGAAAUCGGGAGAGCUUUUUGAGCUGUUUUUUCACCUCUUCCAUAUGAGGGCAUCAGACCUGCAUGCCCCUCAUGUCCUAUGCAGAGCUGCUUUGAAAGCCCAUAGGAGCUCAUUUUUAGUUGGUUUCUAUCAUGAUCCGCAUCUUCUGAAAAUCAGGGAGAUGAGUUGCUCAAAGGGACCUCGGAUCUGCUUUCAUGGUCAUGUGAUUGGUUCACAGCCAUUUGCACCUCACUGCUAAAUGUUCUUACAGCCUGUCUGUAAAAUCUUCGGCUCUGUGUAGCUGAACCUUCUCCAAGAUCCCUGGUUCCCAGGUGAGGCUUUGCACUCCUUGCAUCUCUUGCAUACCAGUAUGAGCCUACAGAGCUUUGCAUGAAAUCCAAAACCUUUUUUUUUCCCUUUUUUCUUUUUUCUAAUGCAGCUUAGUAUUUCCUGCAUAUGGGUCUGCCUGGUGUCUUCCAAGGCAGGAAGUUUCCAGAGGUAUUUCUCAGCUAAUUACAUUAAGUGGUUCGAAGUGAGAUCCCUCAGUGCUUGCUUGGUUGCUUGUGAAGCCACAGAAGUUAAAGAACUUCCCCAUGGCUCUGCAUUCAGCCUGCCUUGCUGAUUCUCAUUGCAGCAUCUCAGUAGUACUGCUUGUGUUCUGCCUUUCCACGGUCUGCUUUUAGAGCCAGCUGCUGAAGCACAUACCUUUAGUUUGAGCUCCUGCCAUUGCCUCUGGAUAGUGCCCUGAGCUGGGGUGAGAUGGGGCAGGCUGUCCUCCUGCUCUCAGGGUUUGACAUCAGCAUGAGUUGUCCCUUGCUUUGUGCCCCACGAUUACAGCUGCUUCCUGGCCCCUGGUUGUUUCGUAGGCUGUGUUGUUAGCUUGUCCCCACAGUGUCUCAGGAUGAAUUCACCUGUUUUUCUGACCCCCUGGGGGCAUUUGUUAGAGCUACCACUGGGUCAGUGCAUAGUGACAGCAUAUGUUUCUGGGAGGGAGAUGGUGUGCGCUUCCAUUGGAGCCCGUGUGAAAGCUGUUCUAGAAGGGAGGUGUUUUGGGAGGCAGGUGACAAAGGCUCACGCCUGGUUUGAUGUUUCAGCUAAGCUGAUAUCACGGUGAGCCAUCACUGAACAGGCGGGUCCUACCCUUCCUGUCUCAGGUUGCUCAGAGCUUAUCUGCAAUUCUGAGCCUCUUUGAGAUGUCAGAUCAACAAGAAGUAAUUUCCUUUCGGAUAGGCUUAGUUUUGUGCUGGUGGGACACAUUGAGGUGGCUCACUAGGGUAAAUCUGCCCCUUGGGUGGCAGCUCCUUUGAACUCAGUGGUGAGGAAAGGAGGAGAGAUCCCCACCAGGAAGGGGUUGAUGUUCUUGCUUUAUUUCCAAGGGGAUUUCUUAGUGUGGGAUGUAAUGCAGGUCUCAGCCAAAGCCUGGGCGGUGCUGGUCCCUCAACAGCUCAUCCCCAGCACACAGGGUCACGAGCCUGCUCUGCCUUCUCCAUCCCUGCCUGCCCUCAGCCCUCCAUCUGGCUUGUUUUAAAGGUCUGGCUUGCGCCUGGUGUUCGAGAUAAUCCUUGUAACUAGUUGGGUCUGAUCCAUGCUAGAUGAUGUUAUUGGCAGCACUGAGGCUGACACCCCGCUGCUCCGCUUCUCCUCGGACUCCUUGCCUUCCUCCUGCUAGCUGGGCCAGCAGCAAUCCUGCUGCCUCCCUGGCUGCUGUCUGGAGAGCAUAUUGAGGUUCUGCUCAGAAGCCUGCUGCCUGCCUCAACCAGGACAGUGAAUGUGCCAGCACUGCCAGCAGUGCAGGCAGGUGUAGAGCCCUUCUGCCUCUUUCCAGCUGCUUCCGACAGCCCCCGAGCUUCUGUCCUACCCAGCAGGGUAUCCCAGUGUGUGUGCAAAGAGGAUGGUGGGAAGGGCCUGGAACAGAUCUGUACAGCCAGGAUUGGAGUGGAGAAGAGGCACAGGGAAAAACUAUUUGCUUGUCUGGCCCAAGAACUGAGGCAUCAAGUGAACGCAGGAAGUGUUGGGUUUAAAGACAAAUUGAGGAGGACAGCUUGUUGCACAGCAUGUGUUUCUGCUCUGCCACAGGCAGUUAUGAGUACUAAAAGGCUGCGAUCAAAGACUGCAUUGGUUUCUAAAGGGAGUUUGAUAGAUUCUGGAAGGAAAAUCAUUGGAUGGAUAUAAAGAUGAAAACAGAGAACGGUUAAAUGCAAGGACAUCUCUGGCACAAGAAGUCCCUGAGUUAUUCAUAGCUCAUGCAGUGACUCUGUCCUGGGAGAUAUGACUGUCAAGUGAUCCUG